RNAcentral lists this ribosomal RNA (398 nucleotides) under uncultured bacterium. RNAcentral describes it as "bacterial SSU rRNA". It matches the Rfam family "Bacterial small subunit ribosomal RNA", at positions 28 to 410 of the family's 1533-position model. The record is from RNAcentral.
GAUGAACGCUGGCGGCGUGCUUAACACAUGCAAGUCGAACGAAGCACCUUAAUUGAUUUCUUCGGAAUGAAGUUAUUGUGACUGAGUGGCGGACGGGUGAGUAACGCGUGGGUAACCUGCCUCACACAGGGGGAUAACAGUUGGAAACGGCUGCUAAUACCGCAUAAGCGCACAGUACCGCAUGGUACGGUGUGAAAAACUCCGGUGGUGUGAGAUGGACCCGCGUCUGAUUAGCUAGUUGGCAGGGCAACGGCCUACCAAGGCGACGAUCAGUAGCCGACCUGAGAGGGUGACCGGCCACAUUGGGACUGAGACACGGCCCAAACUCCUACGGAGCAGCAGUGGGGAAUAUUGCACAAUGGGGGAAACCCUGAUGCAGCGACGCCGCGUGAGUGAAG